This 639-nucleotide long non-coding RNA is filed under the name Marmota monax (woodchuck). Lineage: Eukaryota; Metazoa; Chordata; Mammalia; Rodentia; Sciuridae. The record is from RNAcentral.
GGGAAUGUGGCUCAGUGGUCAAGUACCCCUGAGUUCAAACCCCAGUACCAAAAAAAGAAUAGCCCCCUGCUGUGCAGCAUAAUCAUGUGGAACAAAGUACGCUAAUCGUGUUACUAAUCAAAGAUUGCCAGCUAUAGAAUUAUUGGAUUAAGUCAGAAGCACAUGAACAUAUGGGCAUAUCGACUCCAUAUCAAGAACAUGAGGCUGGUGAGCUUAUCAGACACAUCAGGCCACCAAAUGAUGCAAAGCCCUCACCUGCAACAUGCAGCGGUAUGGUGGCACACACAGGCCCAUCAUCUAUCAGAAUCCCUGGGAAAUGCAGCUCACUCCCAACUCUGUCCCCGGGCUUCAGUUCAGCUCCAUCUCUCUGCUCUGCGAGGCCCUCCUUGUAACUGCCUGCUGUCUGGACCCUCUCCCGGGACAAGCCUCUUGACCCUUGAAACCCUGUGACUACCCUAACACCUCUUAGCUGUUCUGUGGCCUAUCCAUCAUUGGGUAAAUUGUGACUUGAGUGUUACCGAGAUUAGUAAUUGAGACUGGAAUGGAAUAAAAGAAAAUGGUGUCUUACUCAUGGCUACCAAGUGAACCAUGAGUACUUGGUGAAUUAAAACAAUGAAAGUUAUGCAACUUGUGGAUUUG